GACACCGUGCCGGAGUGGUUAACGGGUUAGACUUGAAUUGCAUUCGAGAUAUCUAAUGGCUUAGGCCUCACAAGUUCGAAUCUUGUCGGUGUCG
Non-coding RNA from Lineolata rhizophorae, 94 nucleotides. The record is from the annotation of a GenBank genome assembly. Lineage: Eukaryota; Fungi; Ascomycota; Dothideomycetes; Lineolatales; Lineolataceae.